AAAUACAUAUUUCCUUUUCUUUUAUUCGAUUAUUUCAAAUUAUCCAACCAUCGAUUUCGUUCCAUUUUCGUUCCUUCAAUCAUCUCAUAAUAAAACAAGUUUAAGUGAUGUUUUGGGAUUGAAAAUCAUUCGUCUUAAAAUUUUGUGACAUGGUCGAAUGGCAUAGGGCCUAAAUAAUUUGUAUUUUAUUUUUAUUAUUUUGAAAAUCAUUAGUACUAAUACGAUCUUUUUUUAACAUGAAGGACUGAUUAGCAAUCCACCGAGAAAUCAAUAGUAAAACAUUGCGAGAGUGAUGAAUCCGAG
Molecule: long non-coding RNA, 303 nt
Filed under: Gossypium barbadense (sea-island cotton)
Lineage: Eukaryota; Viridiplantae; Streptophyta; Magnoliopsida; Malvales; Malvaceae
Description: long non-coding RNA (GBAR_LNC018447)
Source: RNAcentral